GACGAACGCUGGCGGCGUGCUUAACACAUGCAAGUCGAACGGAAAGGCCCCUUUGGGGGUACUCGAGUGGCGAACGGGUGAGUAACACGUGAGUAACCUGCCCUUGACUUCGGGAUAACUUCAGGAAACUGGGGCUAAUACCGGAUAGGAAUCCUUGCUGCAUGGUGGGGGUUGGAAAGCUUCGGCGGUUUUGGAUGGACUCGCGGCUUAUCAGCUUGUUGGUGGGGUAGUGGCUUACCAAGGCUUUGACGGGUAGCCGGCCUGAGAGGGCGACCGGCCACAUUGGGACUGAGAUACGGCCCAGACUCCUACGGGAGGCAGCAGUGGGGAAUAUUGCACAAUGGGCGGAAACCUGAUGCAGCAACGCCGCGUGCGGGAGGACGGCCUUCGGGUUGUAAACCGCUUUCAGCAGGGGCGAAGCUUGUGGUGACGGUACCUGCAGAAGAAGCACCGGCUAACUACGUG
This 465-nucleotide ribosomal RNA is filed under the name uncultured bacterium. Its description in RNAcentral is "partial 16S ribosomal RNA". It matches the Rfam family "Bacterial small subunit ribosomal RNA", at positions 28 to 507 of the family's 1533-position model. The record is from RNAcentral.